UAUUUUUUAUUUUUUUAUAUUCUUCAUUCAUUUCUAUUCAAUGACUCAGAUUUAAUUUUUUUUUAAAUUGUAAUCCGCAAUAGUUGUCACUUUGAGAGAGAUACCAAUUACCAGGUACCCUAAAAAAAAGUAUUUUAGUCUUUUAAUAUAUAAAUAAUUUAAUAAUCUUGCCUCCGCUAUAAAAAAUUAAAUCUCUAUUCUUUCUUUAUUUUCUUUUUUUUUCUCUAUCUUUCCUUCUCAUCCACAGUAGAGAUGUAAAGGGGUAGAAUUUGGGGCGGAUUUUCAAAAAUCUGAAACCGAACCCGACUAUCAAACCCGAAACCCGAACCCGAACCCAAUCCUAUGAAUUUUAGAAAAUCAUGUCCACUUCCGUACCUGACUAGAAAUCCAAAACCUAAACCCUAAUCCGAAUCUGAAAAUCCAAACCCAAAACAUGCAUUUCUCUUUACAAUUAAAAUAUAUUAAGUUAAAUCUAAAUUUUUAAAAUACAUAUUCAAAUAAAAUAUCAAAUAUUUAUAUAUAUUAUAUAUAAAUAUAAUGUAAAAUAAAUUUAGGUUCCGAUCAGUUUUGGGUUUGGAUUAGAUACAAUCAAAAUCCAUACCAGAAUUUAAAUCCGUCAUAUUUUUAUUUUUGAUAUCCAUUUUCAAAACUAUAUCUAUUUAGUAUAGGUAAAUCCACUACGUUUGCCUUCGAGUUUGGAUUCGGAUUCAGAUAAAACUAUGGGUAUACGUACCCAUUGACAUUCGUAAUCCAUAGAUAUUUUGUCAUUUCAUAUCCGUAAUCCGCAGAUAUUUCAUUAAAAAAUAUUACAACAUAUUAAAUAUGUUGAAUUUAUUUUUUUUCCUACAUUCAAAUUUUUUUAAAGUUU
Molecule: long non-coding RNA, 868 nt
Filed under: Ananas comosus (pineapple)
Lineage: Eukaryota; Viridiplantae; Streptophyta; Magnoliopsida; Poales; Bromeliaceae
Description: long non-coding RNA (ACOM_LNC016819)
Source: RNAcentral